This 446-nucleotide ribosomal RNA is filed under the name uncultured bacterium. RNAcentral describes it as "partial 16S ribosomal RNA". It matches the Rfam family "Bacterial small subunit ribosomal RNA", at positions 338 to 795 of the family's 1533-position model. The record is from RNAcentral.
CCUACGGGUGGCAGCAGUAGGGAAUUUUCGGCAAUGGGGGGAACCCUGACCGAGCAACGCCGCGUGAACGAAGAAGUUAUUCGUAAUGUAAAGUUCUUUUAACAGGGAAGAAAGAGAAAUUGUACCUUACCUGAAGAAUAAGCUCCGGUUAACUACGUGCCAGCAGCCGCUGUAAUACGUAGGGAGCGAGCGUGAUCCGGAAGUAUUGGGCGUAAAGGGGGCGUAGAUGGCAUGGUAAGUCUUUUGUAAAAGUGCGGGGCUCAACCCAGUAGGGCAAAAGAUACUGCGAAGCUAGAGUAUGAGAGAGGCACGCGGAAGUACAUGUGUAGCGGUGAAAUGCGUAAAUAUAUGGAAGAACACCAGGGGCGAAGGCGGCUUGCUGGGUCGAUACUGACAUUGAGGCACGAAAGCGUGGGGAGCAAACAGGAUUAGAUACCCUGGUAGUC